Glycine soja is the source of this 2327-nucleotide RNA transcript. It is a transcript of the gene named ankyrin repeat domain-containing protein 13C-like, with no coding region annotated. The record is from RefSeq and is a predicted model, not a curated record. Lineage: Eukaryota; Viridiplantae; Streptophyta; Magnoliopsida; Fabales; Fabaceae. The transcript is spliced from 3 exons.
UGCCGCAAUUGCAACAGUACUUUUAAUAAUUCCCUAGCAAAGUAACUUCAGCAAGGAAUACGAAAUGACAAAGAGGCCCCUGGAAGGAGACAAAGUGACAGGACUCAGUUCCAAAGGAGAAGUGCUACCUCAUCCCCCGGCACAAGCCACUGCCCUUUUGGCACUUUAAACAGUGUCCAUUUCACUAAAAUACCCCUUCCUCCGCAACUAAGCGAGAGCGUUGGAACAUGGCCAAGUCCACCGCUCCUCCGGAUAAUUAUGGUCACAGUCCAGUUCACUACGCCGUCGCAUUGGGCGACCACACCACCCUCUCCAGAAUCAUAUCCUCACUCCCUCGUCUCCCCGAUCCCUCUCUUAUUCAAACAGAAUCCGAUUCCCUCGCUCAAGAAAAAAUCGCCGAUCAGAUCUCCCUCGUCCUCGACCGCCGCGACGUUCCUUAUGGAGAAACCCCUCUCCACCUCGCCGUCCGACUCAACGACCUUUUUUCCGCCCGCGCCCUCGCCACCGCCGGCGCCGACGUCUCCCUCCAGAACUCCGCCGGCUGGAACGCUUUGCAGGAGGCGCUAUGCCGCCGCGCCUCCGACAUCGCGCUCGUCCUCCUCCGCCUUCACCAUCGCAACGCCUGGUCCAAGUGGCGCCGUCGCCUCCCGCGGGUCAUCGCCGCGCUACGCCGCAUGCGUGACUUCUACAUGGAGAUCUCCUUCCACUUCGAGAGCUCCCUCAUUCCCUUCGUCGGAAAGAUCGCUCCCUCCGACACCUACAAAAUCUGGAAGCGAGACGGCAACCUCCGCGCUGACACCUCUCUCGCCGGCUUCGACGGCCUCAAGAUCCAGCGCGCCGACCAGAGCUUCCUCUUCCUUGGAGACGGCGAUCACACGCACGACGUCCCCUCCGGUUCGCUCCUCGUCCUCAACCGCGACGACCGCAAAAUCUUCGACGCCUUCGAGAACGCCGGAGGACCGAUGAACGAGUCCGACCUCGCCGGAUUCUGCUCGCAGACUAGCGUGUACCGUCCUGGCAUGGACGUGACGAAGGCAGAGCUUGUAGGCAGAAUGAAUUGGCGAAGGCAAGAGAAAACAGAGAGCGUGGGAGAGUGGAAGGCGAAGGUGUACGAAAUGCACAACGUGGUUUUCAGUUUCCGGUCACGGAAAGUGGCCGGCAGCGAGUCUGACGUGGCAGGGAGCGAGCAGGUGCUGCCGUUGGAACUGGACGAAGACGACGACGGUUUUCUCGUUGCGGAGAAUCCGAAUUUCGGGUUCCCAAUGCCAGACAAGAGAAGACACAGUAGCUUCGUUCGAGAAGAGACAGAGUGGGUCCCAAUGGGAAGGAAAAGCCUCGACCUAACGUCCGUAACGGCCCCACAGCCGCGAAGCGUGACCAUGCCUACUCAGACCAAGGAAAAGGAGUACGUUAGAAGCUUACGGCCGUCAGUGUGGCUAACGGAGCAGUUUCCGUUAAAGACCGAGGAGCUUCUGCCGUUACUCGACAUACUCGCCAAUAAGGUCAAAGCAGUGAGGAGGCUUAGAGAGUUACUCACUACCACGUUCCCGCCGGGAACUUUCCCCGUUAAGGUGGCUAUACCGGUGGUCCCUACAGUGAGGGUGGUGAUUACGUUCACAAAGUUCGUGGAGCUGCAACCUCUGGAGCAAUUCUACACUCCAUUCUCCAGUCCAAGGCAUUUGCUCAGUGCCGCAGGGGCAGGCAGAGGAGAUGAGGAACAGAGCAAAGCAGAAAACAGGUGCUCUUCUUCGAGCUCAUCAACGUGGCUGAGACGAAAUAAUAGCGUGUCGAAUAAACAACGAUGUAUGGCAUUUGAUUCAGACCCUUUUAAGAUUCCUGCGGGAUACACAUGGACCAGUGUGGAUGAUAAAUCUCGUAAAAUGAAGAAAUCCAAGUCCGUCAGAAAGCCUAAGUAAGCCAAUGGAGUUAGGUGUUUUUAACGUUCAAUAUGUAGAUAGAUAUUCCGUCUAUUUUUUUUACUCAACUGGGGCUUGGGGUGGAGAGGUAAAUGGUGUUCGUUCACAAAGAAGCUGGAGCUUCCAAUUGAAUCACCGAAAAGAUUAUGGUCUUAUCUCAUACGGGCAAUAUUUGAUGUUGCGAUAUUGGUCCGUCAAGAUUACUCACACUUUUAGAGAAGGGAAUAGGACAGCUGAUUCAUUAGCACCAACAGCUCACCAUUUUGGAGAGUCUUGUGUUUUUUGAUAGCCCGCCCGAGGAACGUAAUGUAAGAACCUCUUUGACUGGAUUUAUUAGGGACUUCAUAGAUCUGUGAGAAUGGAGAUUCUCUGUCCAGUUAAUAAUAAAGAAAAAGGUUUUCGUUUCCUCGA